GAAUGUCUAUCCGGAUAUAGCAGCGGUUGUCACGGGCUCAAGGGGAGUACCGGGUUGUGACAAAUAUGGUGUUGAAUAUCCCUCAUGGAUGGUAAACCGUCAAAGCAUGCACCUCUUUGACUCCUUGAAAGUAGCAGCUAUCUCAUUCCUUGAAUGAGUAAGGGUGUUUUCUUUUCCAUCAUGUUGUGCUGCAACAUCAAAUUGCUAAGGUCUACCAAAUAACAAGUGACAAGCAUCUAUAUCCACAAUAUC
This is a non-coding RNA of Theobroma cacao (cacao), 252 nucleotides long. Lineage: Eukaryota; Viridiplantae; Streptophyta; Magnoliopsida; Malvales; Malvaceae. The record is from RefSeq and is a predicted model, not a curated record.